This 253-nucleotide ribosomal RNA is filed under the name uncultured bacterium. RNAcentral's name for it is "partial 16S ribosomal RNA". It matches the Rfam family "Bacterial small subunit ribosomal RNA", at positions 524 to 776 of the family's 1533-position model. The record is from RNAcentral.
UACGGAAGGGGCUAGCGUUGUUCGGAAUUACUGGGCGUAAAGAGCGCGUAGGCGGCUUACCAAGUUGGGGGUGAAAUCCAGGAGCUCAACUCCGGAACUGCCUUCAAAACUGGUAGGCUCGAGUCCGGAAGAGGGGCGUGGAAUUCCCAGUGUAGAGGUGAAAUUAGUAGAUAUUGGGAAGAACACCGGUGGCGAAGGCGGCGCCCUGGUCCGGUACUGACGCUGAGGCGCGAAAGCGUGGCGAGCAAACAGA